Molecule: ribosomal RNA, 240 nt
Filed under: Triticum aestivum (bread wheat)
Lineage: Eukaryota; Viridiplantae; Streptophyta; Magnoliopsida; Poales; Poaceae
Description: partial small subunit ribosomal RNA
Source: RNAcentral
AUGAGGACAGAACCAGUGCAUUGGGCUAGGGCCUUCUUCCCAUAUGGAUCAAACUGUGAGUCAGUGGAUAACAACCUUUGCGAGUCUUUCAACAAUGCCAUCAUAGAAUCAAGGUUUUACCCCAUAAUAUCACAACAAGAGAUGAUAAGGAAGAAGGUGUAUGCCAGAAUUCAGGAACAGAGAAGAAAAAUAAUGAUAGGAGGAGAGAAGAAGGGGAAGCUCCCAAAGGAAAGAAAUUAA